Papaver somniferum (opium poppy) is the source of this 3189-nucleotide long non-coding RNA. RefSeq lists it as uncharacterized. The record is from RefSeq and is a predicted model, not a curated record. The transcript is spliced from 3 exons. Lineage: Eukaryota; Viridiplantae; Streptophyta; Magnoliopsida; Ranunculales; Papaveraceae.
GAAAACUCCAAUUUUCUUCUCAUUCUUCUGUUCUUUUCCAUUCUCUUGCCUUGACUCUAAAACCCUAUGAAUCAGUGAGAGUAAGAGGUGCAUUGUUAACCGCUUGUUAUUUUAGAUCCUUGAAUUGAAGCAGAAUAGAGUAUUCAAGAGCAAGGAUGCAAAUGGGUUAUCUUGUUGUGGAAUGAGCGGUUGAGAGUUAGGAUUCAUUCUGGAGCAGCAAGCUACAAGAAGCUUGCGGAAGCGAAGCUAGAGACACAAAGUUGGUAUUUACUUUGUCGUCCUUAUAUAUGUAUAUAUCAUGGUAUAAUAACAAGUGGGCAUUGGGGGUGUUUUGGAAUGGUGUUCAGUUUGCUUAAAAAGUAUUUCAAUUUCAUUUCAUAAAUAUCUUAUGAGUGUGUCUAUCAGUUUGGAACAUUUCCUGUUGUCGAGUUUUACAUUUCAUGUUGUCGAAUUUAUCAGUUUGGAACAUUUCCUGUUGUCGAAUUUUACUGCAUUAGCAAGUCAUGCUUUACAUAUAUUUCAACUUCUCCCAAUUUCUACUUUAAGAAAUUUCUAAAUUUCAACUUAUGAGAGACUUAAUACCAUGGAACUUUGCUUUUGCUGUGUAAGAUUUAUGUACAAGGAAACACAUAUCUUCAUCAUUUUAGUAUCUUAGUCUCUUCUGUUUAACUAUCACUGUAUAAAAUCAUGCUCUUUAAUACUUUAUUUUUGAAUAAAUUCAUUCUGUUUUAUAUGUUAUGUAUCCGGUUUAUACUUUCGAGUGACGGAACGGGGGUUUAGCUCUGCUGGACGGGUUGAAAUCCAACCCGUCAGAGGGGAAAUUUCUGGUCCGUUGGUUUGUAUGCUACCGCGAUUCGCACUCUCGCCUUUAGUGGAGUUGCACCCAAUAAUGAAGGUACACUGGCUGAACUUCGAUGCAAACACCCCACUGCUGCCUUGCCUAUUAUCCCUCUACUCCACCUUCACAGGAGGCUAUGAUAGCUACCACGGAGCUUGUGCUGAGCAGAUUAAGGAGUUUCCUUAAGGGGACAUCCCGUGGAGGAGACGGUUUCCGUGCACAACAUCUUCUCGAUGUUCUCAGUGGGCCGACAACUGUUAUUUCAGAUAAGUUACACGCCUCCAUCAUGAAAGUGGUUAACUUAUGGCUUUCAGGCUCUUGUCCGUCGGUUUUGGGGGAAUAUAUGUAGCCAGCGCUCCUCUCACCCCACUCAUCAAACCUGGUGGUGGAUUGCGGCCUAUAGCAGUUGGCACAAUAGGCAAGGAAAUGAACUCAUAUCUGGGUGAUUUCCAGUUUGGAGUGGGGGCCAAGUGCGGUGGAGAAGCUAUUCUACAUGCUGUUAAUCGUGUGUUGGAAGAUAAAGGAGACCAAAGUACGCUAUCCAUGUUGCUGGUAGAUUUCUCUAAUGCGUUCAAUCUCAUAGAUAGAACAACCAUGAUCUCAGAGGUACGUAGGUUAUGUCCUUCGAUAUCUCAUUGGGUUGAGUUUUGUUACGCUUCACCGGCACGACUAUAUUAUAUGGAUCAUGUACUUUCUUCAGCUCAGGGAGUGCAACAAGGUGAUCCUUUAGGGCCACUUUUGUUCGCCCUUACUCUCCCCACCUGCUAGUCUUGAGUAUUUCGAAAAGUGUGAUUUAGAACUGCAUGCAUGGUAUCUUGAUGAUGGUACGGUGAUUGGGGACACUACGAUGGUUGCUAGAGCAAUGAAGAUUAUUCAAGAAGAAGGUGUUGCUAGGGGGAUGUUUUUGAACAUCAAGAAGACUGACUAAUUUUGGCCCUCUCUAGACCCCAGGACAGCCAUUGCAGGUAUGUUUCCAUCUGAUAUUUGUAGGCCAGAGAAGGGGUUAAGCUUCUAGGUGCUCCUGGUAGCCUUGAUGCUCAAUUCAACGCGGAUCUGAUUGUAAAAAGAGUGCAAAAAACUAUGGAGCUCAUUGAUGCAGUGGAAAAACUUGAAGAACCACAGUGUGAGCUUCUUUUGUUUAGGAACUGUGCUGGAGUUUCUCGCUUAUAUUUUGCUUUACGCACUACUUUUCCAGACUGCACAUUUGCGGCUCAAGAUCUGUUUGACUCUCGUCUCUACAAGUUCCUACAACAUGUAAUCACAGGAGAUGGUCCAGGUUUCGGCCCCUUGCAAAUGCGGUUUUGCCCGCUGCCCCUGGUUUAGGUGUUUAUUCGAUGCAAGACAUUAUGCACUACUGCUAUUUAGCGUCGUGCUUGCAAACACUAGAAUUGCAGUAUGUUAUUUUGAGACACACCCGCACUAGUGGUUUCAGCUCCCACCUUGAGCGUGCUGCAGCUUCUUUCAACUCUCUGUGUAGUCAUGUUUCUCCUAUAUGCAUCGAUAGCACUGCCACCCAUUCUAUGUCAACUGGCCACUGUUUAUUUUGAUGCAGUAAAGAAGAACUUGACUUCCAAUUUCAAGUUGUCUGAACGGGAUUCAUUCCUAUGGCAGAGUAACCAGGUGAAGCAUGCCAUGGAUUUCUUAUUGGCUAUCCCUAUUCCUGGCCUAAAUCAGCAAAUUGGUUCGAGGCAGUUUAGUGCGAUACUAUGUUAUAGACUUGGUAUCCCCUUGUUUGAACCAGAUAGUUUGUUCCCCUUCUGCAAGAGAGAGAUGGAUGUUUUUGGCGACCAUGCAGUGCACUGUACGAAUGAAGUUGGUUUAAAAUUUCGGCAUGAUUUAGUACGUGACACGAUUGCAGACAUAUGUUAUCGGGAUGGGGUGCCUGCACGGAAAGAGGUGGACUUGGGUCUUCUUGCGAACAACGAUACUUCCCUGAGACCGACAGAUGUUCUUGUGCUCAAUUGGGAUAAUGGUCGGGACGUUUGCUUCGAUAUGACGAUCGUGUCGCCUUUUGCUGUGGGUAAUGGUCGUACUUUGGAGGGGGAAAGGCUAUCAAGGAUCCUGUCAGUCGCAAAAAUACCAAGUAUUUGGCAAAAUACCCUGCGCAAGGAUAUGGGUUUGGUGCUUUGGCUUUCACUAUUUUGGGUGAACUUGGUGACGGAACAACAGACUUCAUUAAGCGGCUUCACAACUAUAUGGCUAGUCAUGAUGCUAAUGUGCGUGUAGGUGAUUUCAUUUUUCACAGGUUGAGUGUGAUAGUUCAAAAAAGAGUUAGAACCCAGCUUGUUGCUCGGGUUCCGCUGAUGAGAAUUCUUUUGAAUUUGAUUAAUCUUAUAUUAAAAAAUAAAAUU